UACGUAGGGUGCAGGCGUUAAUCGGAAUUACUGGGCGUAAAGCGUGCGCAGGCGGCUCCUUAAGUCAGAUGUGAAAGCCCCGGGCUUAACCUGGGAACUGCGUUUGAAACUGUGGAGCUGGAGUGUAGAAGAGGGGGGUGGAAUUCCAGGUGUAGCAGUGAAAUGCGUAGAUAUCUGGAGGAACACCGAUGGCGAAGGCAGCCCCCUGGGCUAACACUGACGCUCAUGCACGAAAGCGUGGGGAGCAAACAGG
This 253-nucleotide ribosomal RNA is filed under the name uncultured bacterium. Its description in RNAcentral is "partial 16S ribosomal RNA". It matches the Rfam family "Bacterial small subunit ribosomal RNA", at positions 524 to 776 of the family's 1533-position model. The record is from RNAcentral.